UCAUGUCACGUGAGCCUAGCUAGCCAGGCCAGCCUAGAGGCGUGUCUAAUUAAGAUGGCUGAUAUCAUAGAUAUCCUUUACUCUAAUAUCUAUGCUGAUAUGGACAUUAGAUACUAUGUAACCUAAUAUCUAUGAUAAGGACUAGACAAGAAGUUUAUCCUGUUUUAAAGAGCUCCUUGUUUAAUUACUUAGAUGUUUAAAGAAUCUAAAACACUCAUUUUAAGGUUUUAACUUCUUUUAGUGAAUUGUGUCUGAGUAUACAAGACUUUGUCAUUUAAUUUUGUUCACUAAGUGUUUCAUUAUUGCUUAAAAUUUUAUCUUCCUCCUCUUUCUCUCCCUCCCGCUCUUUCCUCUACCUUUAUGUUAUGUUCAAAUGAAUUGUGUUUGACUAUGUACAUGGCUUCCUUAUUGAAUAUUUUGUUGAUAUCCUGUGCCUGAAUUUAUGUAGAAGACUUGUAAAUCAUGAUAUAGCUACUGCUCGUAAUAUAGCAAUGGUCAUUUUAAUGAUUUGUGCCUUUGCUGAUCUCAAUAAAAGACAAGACUUUGCUUCUUAGCUGUUAAAAUUCCAAUGACACAGUAAGGAAAUUA
Molecule: long non-coding RNA, 588 nt
Organism: Amphimedon queenslandica
Lineage: Eukaryota; Metazoa; Porifera; Demospongiae; Haplosclerida; Niphatidae
Exons: 4
Source: RefSeq, a predicted model, not a curated record